Molecule: long non-coding RNA, 311 nt
Organism: Triplophysa dalaica
Lineage: Eukaryota; Metazoa; Chordata; Actinopteri; Cypriniformes; Nemacheilidae
Exons: 3
Source: RefSeq, a predicted model, not a curated record
UUGAAGUUUCCGGUUGUUGUUUUUUCCUAUCGGUCGCUUUCGGUUCUGACACAAUGAAACCAUCUGAUCCCUCACACGAGAAACGAAACCAACGGAGACAUUUAAACACCUGCAGGGAUCAGUGACUCGCUCAUUCAACACGCGAUAUAACCCCAUAUCUGUUUAAAAAUGUUUAAUUCAAGCAGAGGAGGAGAACAGACAGGAAGAGGAGGGGUCCAGCAACGAAGAGAUUCUUCUCAGACUGGUCGAAGACAAGAGAAUGGGUCAUCUAAUCGAGGAGGUGGGUGGGGGGAAAGUGGAGGAAGAGGAGG